GCAUAUCAAUAAGCGGAGGAAAAGAAACCAACAGGGAUUGCCCCAGUAACGGCGAGUGAAGCGGCAACAGCUCAAAUUUGAAAUCUGGCCCCCAGGGUCCGAGUUGUAAUUUGUAGAGGAUGCUUUUGGCGCGGCGCCUUCCGAGUUCCCUGGAACGGGACGCCAUAGAGGGUGAGAGCCCCGUCUGGUCGGAUGCCUAGCCUCUGUAAAGCUCCUUCGACGAGUCGAGUAGUUUGGGAAUGCUGCUCUAAAUGGGAGGUAUAUGUCUUCUAAAGCUAAAUAUUGGCCAGAGACCGAUAGCGCACAAGUAGAGUGAUCGAAAGAUGAAAAGCACUUUGAAAAGAGGGUUAAAUAGUACGUGAAAUUGUUGAAAGGGAAGCGUUUGUGACCAGACUUGGGCCCGGUUAAUCAUCCACCGUUCUCGGUGGUGCACUUUGCCGGCCCAGGCCAGCAUCAGUUCGCCUCGGGGGAUAAAGGCUUCGGGAAUGUGGCUCCCUCGGGAGUGUUAUAGCCCGUUGCGUAAUACCCUGCGGCGGACUGAGGUUCGCGCUCCGCAAGGAUGCUGGCGUAAUGGUCAUCAGCGACCCGUCUUGAAACACGGACCAAGGAGUCGUCUUCGUAUGCGAGUGUUCGGGUGUCAAACCCCUACGCGUAAUGAAAGUGAACGCAGGUGAGAGCUUCGGCGCAUCAUCGACCGAUCCUGAUGUUCUCGGAUGGAUUUGAGUAAGAGCAUACGGGGCCGGACCCGAAAGAAGGUGAACUAUGCCUGUAUAGGGUGAAGCCAGAGGAAACUCUGGUGGAGGCUCGCAGCGGUUCUGACGUGCAAAUCGAUCGUCAAAUAUGGGCAUGGGGCGAAAGACUAAUCGACUACAGCCCG
This 877-nucleotide ribosomal RNA is filed under the name Niesslia exilis. Its description in RNAcentral is "LSU rRNA". It matches the Rfam family "Eukaryotic large subunit ribosomal RNA", at positions 38 to 953 of the family's 3401-position model. Lineage: Eukaryota; Fungi; Ascomycota; Sordariomycetes; Hypocreales; Niessliaceae. The record is from RNAcentral.